RNAcentral lists this ribosomal RNA (484 nucleotides) under uncultured bacterium. RNAcentral's name for it is "partial 16S ribosomal RNA". It matches the Rfam family "Bacterial small subunit ribosomal RNA", at positions 29 to 507 of the family's 1533-position model. The record is from RNAcentral.
AUUGAACGCUGGCGGCAUGCUUUACACAUGCAAGUCGAACGGCAGCGCGGGCUUCGGCCUGGCGGCGAGUGGCGAACGGGUGAGUAAUACAUCGGAACGUGCCCAGUAGUGGGGGAUAGCUCGGUGAAAGCCGGAUUAAUACCGCAUACGACCUGAGGGUGAAAGCGGGGGAUCUUCGGACCUCGCGCUAUUGGAGCGGCCGAUGGCAGAUUAGCUAGUUGGUGGGGUAAAGGCCUACCAAGGCGACGAUCUGUAGCUGGUCUGAGAGGACGACCAGCCACACUGGGACUGAGACACGGCCCAGACUCCUACGGGAGGCAGCAGUGGGGAAUUUUGGACAAUGGGCGAAAGCCUGAUCCAGCAAUGCCGCGUGUGUGAUGAAGGCCUUCGGGUUGUAAAGCACUUUUGGCGGGAACGAAAAGGACUGUGCCAAUACCACGGUUUGAUGACGGUACCCGCAGAAUAAGCACCGGCUAACUACGUG